RNAcentral lists this ribosomal RNA (1776 nucleotides) under Escherichia coli. Its description in RNAcentral is "partial 23S ribosomal RNA". It matches the Rfam family "Bacterial large subunit ribosomal RNA", at positions 1184 to 2925 of the family's 2925-position model. Lineage: Bacteria; Pseudomonadati; Pseudomonadota; Gammaproteobacteria; Enterobacterales; Enterobacteriaceae. The record is from RNAcentral.
AAACCAUGCACCGAAGCUGCGGCAGCGACACUAUGUGUUGUUGGGUAGGGGAGCGUUCUGUAAGCCUGUGAAGGUGGCCUGUGAGGGUUGCUGGAGGUAUCAGAAGUGCGAAUGCUGACAUAAGUAACGAUAAAGCGGGUGAAAAGCCCGCUCGCCGGAAGACCAAGGGUUCCUGUCCAACGUUAAUCGGGGCAGGGUGAGUCGACCCCUAAGGCGAGGCCGAAAGGCGUAGUCGAUGGGAAACAGGUUAAUAUUCCUGUACUUGGUGUUACUGCGAAGGGGGGACGGAGAAGGCUAUGUUGGCCGGGCGACGGUUGUCCCGGUUUAAGCGUGUAGGCUGGUUUUCCAGGCAAAUCCGGAAAACCAAGGCUGAGGCGUGAUGACGAGGCACUACGGUGCUGAAGUGACAAAUGCCCUGCUUCCAGGAAAAGCCUCUAAGCAUCAGGUAACAUCAAAUCGUACCCCAAACCGACACAGGUGGUCAGGUAGAGAAUACCAAGGCGCUUGAGAGAACUCGGGUGAAGGAACUAGGCAAAAUGGUGCCGUAACUUCGGGAGAAGGCACGCUGAUAUGUAGGUGAAGCGACUUGCUCGUGGAGCUGAAAUCAGUCGAAGAUACCAGCUGGCUGCAACUGUUUAUUAAAAACACAGCACUGUGCAAACACGAAAGUGGACGUAUACGGUGUGACGCCUGCCCGGUGCCGGAAGGUUAAUUGAUGGGGUUAGCGGUAACGCGAAGCUCUUGAUCGAAGCCCCGGUAAACGGCGGCCGUAACUAUAACGGUCCUAAGGUAGCGAAAUUCCUUGUCGGGUAAGUUCCGACCUGCACGAAUGGCGUAAUGAUGGCCAGGCUGUCUCCACCCGAGACUCAGUGAAAUUGAACUCGCUGUGAAGAUGCAGUGUACCCGCGGCAAGACGGAAAGACCCCGUGAACCUUUACUAUAGCUUGACACUGAACAUUGAGCCUUGAUGUGUAGGAUAGGUGGGAGGCUUUGAAGUGUGGACGCCAGUCUGCAUGGAGCCGACCUUGAAAUACCACCCUUUAAUGUUUGAUGUUCUAACGUUGGCCCCUAAUCGGGGUUGCGGACAGUGUCUGGUGGGUAGUUUGACUGGGGCGGUCUCCUCCUAAAGAGUAACGGAGGAGCACGAAGGUUGGCUAAUCCUGGUCGGACAUCAGGAGGUUAGUGCAAUGGCAUAAGCCAGCUUGACUGCGAGCGUGACGGCGCGAGCAGGUGCGAAAGCAGGUCAUAGUGAUCCGGUGGUUCUGAAUGGAAGGGCCAUCGCUCAACGGAUAAAAGGUACUCCGGGGAUAACAGGCUGAUACCGCCCAAGAGUUCAUAUCGACGGCGGUGUUUGGCACCUCGAUGUCGGCUCAUCACAUCCUGGGGCUGAAGUAGGUCCCAAGGGUAUGGCUGUUCGCCAUUUAAAGUGGUACGCGAGCUGGGUUUAGAACGUCGUGAGACAGUUCGGUCCCUAUCUGCCGUGGGCGCUGGAGAACUGAGGGGGGCUGCUCCUAGUACGAGAGGACCGGAGUGGACGCAUCACUGGUGUUCGGGUUGUCAUGCCAAUGGCACUGCCCGGUAGCUAAAUGCGGAAGAGAUAAGUGCUGAAAGCAUCUAAGCACGAAACUUGCCCCGAGAUGAGUUCUCCCUGAGACUUAGAGUCUCCUGAAGGAACGUUGAAGACGACGACGUUGAUAGGCCGGGUGUGUAAGCGCAGCGAUGCGUUGAGCUAACCGGUACUAAUGAACCGUGAGGCUUAACCUUACAACGCCGAAG